CCCACCCCAUGGAGGACAGCAGAGGCUGAGGUCACAUUCCUGGGGUCCGUGCCCUUCGCUAGGGUGGGAGCUCACAAGCCCACCUGGACAUUCUUCUUGUCAACAUUCUUCAGUCUCCAGAACUCCAGUUUCCACCCAAGGUUUAGAAUUCUGUCACUUUGCGUCUCAGCUCAAAUGAUCAAGCCCGGGCCAUGCCCGUGGAGUCCCUCCACUGUUGUUUUCUACCCUUACAUCAAUCCACGAUCAUAAAAAACAUAGAAAAAGCAGUGGAACAAUGAACACAGUGACAAGACAUGAACCCAGCAACAAGAGAAACACAAAAGGUCGGUAAAAGACCUGUCUGGGAAGGUUUUGCACCAUCCUUCGGCGGCAACGCGGGGUCAGCACUGCUGGGAAGGGGUCUCGGUGUCACCGUCACUGGGAAGGUGGUGCGUACAAAAAUACAGUCAUCUCCUUGUGUUGUCCAAGGGAAGGAGCUGUAACAUAGAGCUAGUGGCUUUCAAAUCCAUCGAUCCCCAUUGGAUAAUCCUUUUUGAGAGGCGUGAAGUAAUUAUCUCGUGUGAUCUAUCCCCACUGCACCCUUCUCUCGCCCUUCUGAGAGUUAUUGGUCAUUCACACUUUUAAAAAAUAGAUAUAUUUAUCAAAAUACCCCAAAGGCAAAAACAACAAAAAAACAAACAACAACAACAACAACAACAACAAAAAAAUCUUUCAUAAGCUAUUUCUCAAAACGAGGAAGGGUGCACAAAACAAAACAAAACAAAAAAAACCAACAACAAAAAAAAAGUCUGCAUGAAAAGCAAGCACUCAGAAGGAAGUAAUAGCAGCAAAGUAGUAUAGAUGUCAUGAGUUCACUCUGUCUCGAGUCAUCGGUUGUUGAAAAUAACCUCCAACCAGCAGGGGCAACUGCUGAUGAACUGUCUCGUGUAGCACUGGCCCCAGCCUUUCACAAAGCUGAUCUGCACGGUAAAUCCUGUCCAUGGCUGCUGCGUGAACUCGUGGUCGUUGGGUCUCUGCAAGGUGUACGCCUUCUCGUAGUCAAAAGCCUUGAUGGAAAACCCUGGGAACACUUUGUGAACCAGCAACGUCCUGGAGUCGGGGUUGUCCAGUGUGGCCGACUUGAUGAAGAUGGGGUAACUGCUGCGGUUGUACACCCACACGCCGUCCACUUCCUUGGUGAGCUGGAUGCCGUAGCCGAUCUUGCUGCGCACCUUCUGCACCAGCUGGCUUUUGUUGUCUGAGUUGAGCUGUCCGAGGCAGAAACCAUUCCCCUGAGGUAGAUCAUAGAAGAUAUCCAGGGAGGGCUCUUGGACAGAGUACAGCCGACCCACACGUGUCUUCUCUUCCCAGUAUGCCACCACACACCAGUGUGACCUAUCCCCUGGCUCCUGAAGAACUUGAGAAUCUGCAGAACAACAGGGGGGAAAGAAAAAGGAGAGAUUUAGCACCAAGGGAAUCAACACGAGCCAAAAGCAACGCAGAACCAACAGGACCUUGCCUGCCCACGUCUUCAAGAUCCUCUCCACACAUACAUCAACAUCCAUCCACUAUUUCCAAAAAAACAUUUCCAGGUUUGAGGCACUCCUCUGUGGUUCCAGUGCCUAGCUCUGGCUGGAUUUACAGGUCCUGAAUGACACAGUCAGUGACAGUGACACAGCCACCCUCACCCAAACCAACACCAGUGCCAACAGGAGAGGUGAGAUGCUUGUGCCACCAAACACGUGAACCCCCUGAUUCUCAACUACUGAAUAACAGAUUUAUUUCCAUAAAUGACAAUGUACUGUGCACAGACACUGAAAACGAUGAGGUGCUGCUAAGAAAACCACACUGAGAGCCACCCCAUGGGACCAGAGGGGAUGAGAACUUGACUGCUCUGGUGUGUGGGGCUUUCUCCUGCCUGCAGGGCCUGGGUGAUGGACAGUAUGAGAUGCCACCCUAACCUAUGGGAAGCACCAAAAGACAGAGGGAACCAAAAAAAAUCUCACACAAGUUAACGAAAUUUGCCUAAAAGCUGACAAUAAAAUUGUAGAAGUUCAUUCGUGCAGCCCUUCUCUCAACUCCCUGGCCCGUAAUUACCCCAUGCAGCAUGGCAAUGAUGUAGGAGGAAAAAGCAAGGCAGGAGGAGGGAAGAAAUGUGAGAAAGCCCCUUUUCCUGACAGAGGAUCCCAAGCAGCCUGGCGCUGCUCGGCGGGUAAUUCCUUCCAGCCUCAGUAGGCAUGUUAAGACCUGGGAACUAUUCAUCUCUAUAAUAGUAUUUGAAAAAAAAAAAAUCAAGCUGGGAAUGCAAGCUAGUGAGCACUACCAAAAUAAUCCCCUGAACUAUGAGAGAAACUACUGGAGCUGGGGUGGUGGGUGACCCAGCAACCAAAAGCUCUUCCUGCAGUCCCCCCACCCCACCCUUCCCCAGGGCAACAUGCUGGCUGCCUGCUCUCUCUACUUUUUGCUAUUAAUAAACCCAUUUUCCCAGUUUUCUUCCCAUCUCGUUCAAGCCCUGUGCUGUGCUUUUAAGAGAGGAGAGACACAAAAAAAAAAAAAGAAAGAAAAAAAAGAAAAAAGAAAAAAAAAAAAGCCCAGCCACACACUUUUAAUUUCCUCAUUUCUAUGCCAGCAAGGAAAAUAUUUCUCCAGUUGCUGGAGGCAGCUACUAAAAAUGGGCCUGGCUGUGGAUGUCUCAAAAUAGAGACCCUCAUUCCCAGGUUAAACCAGGGACAGGGGUUCUGGCCAUGCUGGGGUGGUCCCUGGGACAGCAUCUGCUGAGAUGCACCCCAGUUUGUCCUUCCACUCCCUUUUUUGGUGCCUCACAAGACUCUGUUGUGGGUAAUUUUAUGUUCUGCUGAAACCUGGGGCUGAGGAGGGGCAGGGAGGGCAGUUUGGGUUACUUCCUCCCCACUAACACAGAUUGGGUGCCAUCCAUGCAAAAGUGCAUCCAGAGGGGCAAGAAACUCCUCCAGGAUGGAGUUUCCACCACCUGCCUGGGAGAGAGAAGAAUCUGGGAGGGUUGUUUCUGGAUCCAGGGCAAGGAUGCUCCUCAAUCCAAAGGGGGAUCUCUGUUGACCACCCACUACCUCUCUCCUCACUGUCAGCCUGCCAGUGAUGUUCAGAGCCUUUUGGGUUUUGUUUUACAGCAGCUGGGGGAAUUUUGGAGCCAUUGGACCCCUGCUGAAAUUCCUACAGGUUUUUAUUGAUUCGAACAUAAAACCAUCCCUUUCAGGAGGUGGCAGGGGUGGGAAAAAAGGACUUUUUCACCUGGUAUUUGUGCUUGUAUUAGUGAAGACCAUGUAACAACUAGUUCACUACUGCUCACAGAGAGCUAUUUAAUUGCUAGAGCAUUUAUGGAAAAGAAAAAAACACAAACCUACCAAUAAUAAUUUUUUUAAAAAAGAAGAAAAAAUAGAAAAUUGCCUUGGCGAUGAAUGAACGGACCUUUAUGGAGGGCUGGAAGUUCAUGAAUGAAUCCCACUAGGUUUCUGAAUGACAUGGGGUGACCAGACCUCAAGGACGAAUCUUAGGUAAUCCGGGAUGUUUGAGUUUUUUUUAAGGAGCUGAUGCCAGCACACAGUAUAAAUAUGCCAGAGCCUCUUCCGUUUGCGGGCUUCAGCUGUUGACUG
Long non-coding RNA from Passer domesticus (house sparrow), 3608 nucleotides. RefSeq lists it as uncharacterized. The record is from RefSeq and is a predicted model, not a curated record. Lineage: Eukaryota; Metazoa; Chordata; Aves; Passeriformes; Passeridae. The transcript has 2 exons.